UGCUGCCUGCUGCUCAAGCGCUAGGACCCAAGUUCGAUCCCCAGUACCAAAAACAAACAAACAAACAAAGAAAAGCAUCCCUUACUCCUGUAGUCAUCUCUCCCAGGACGCCCUUUCCUGACUCUUCCCUCAAUGAAUCCCAAUUUGCUCUCAGAUCUCCCCCAAACAUUACCUCCUAAGGAAAACCAUGUCUGUAAGAGCUCUUGAAACAUCUUGUUCUUGAUAAAUACAAUUCUUUUUUUUUUUCUUUUUGGUACUGGGCAUCGAACUCGGGUCCUUGCGCUUGGGAGGCAGGCAGCAGAUCCACUGAGCUAAAUCCCCAGCCCUUGAUAAAUGCAAUUUUUAUAAUGUCCUGGAAUUAUAUAUUUAUAUUUUAUAUCUUACUGGUGUGGUUGUUACUUAGACCUGUGAGUUCUCUCUCGAAGACUACACCUGUAUUGCUCUGCUGCUGAGGACCCCACUCCUACUAUAAAGGUCCACAGUAGAGUCCAAGAAAUGUCUGUUGAAUAACUAAAUGACUGAUACGUCAUGAAUCAAAGAUUAGGAUUAUUUCAAUUUCACUCUCCAAUGAGUGAACGAAAUAAAUGAAAGGUUCUGUAGCCAAGACUCCUCUGGAUUGCCUUCUCAAUCCCCCGACCAUUACCACCAGCAGAGCUCAGCCCACCCUCCCUGGCCACUCAAGUUUCCAGGCCAGAUUUCAGGAUGGGAACAGUGGUUACCGUAGUCCUUAGGGAGGGGGCAGGUGCGGAGGGGUGCACAACAGGCUUCUGUCGCCGCUCCUGGGUGGGGCUGGGGGCUUCUGGGACAGGUUCAUCCUCUUCCUCCUCUUCUUCCUGCUCCCCUCGGGGCGGAGGGGCCAUCGGGGCAGGAUCUGUCUUAGUCAUGAUCCUCGGUGGCCUUGCUGAGACUGAGGAGACCGCGGGAGUAAUGGGGGGUCGGUGUCGGGGGACCCGUCAGGGGAGGAAAGGGAGACAGAGAGACAGAGAGAAGGGGACGCGGCCCAGACGCCGGAGGGGGAUGGGGG
Molecule: long non-coding RNA, 1024 nt
Filed under: Heterocephalus glaber (naked mole-rat)
Lineage: Eukaryota; Metazoa; Chordata; Mammalia; Rodentia; Bathyergidae
Description: lncRNA (ENSHGLG00100037204.1)
Source: RNAcentral